Molecule: ribosomal RNA, 305 nt
Filed under: uncultured bacterium
Lineage: Bacteria
Description: bacterial SSU rRNA
Rfam family: Bacterial small subunit ribosomal RNA
Source: RNAcentral
CCUACGGGGCGCAGCAGUGGGGGAUAUUGCACAAUGGGGGAAACCCUGAUGCAGCGACGCCGCGUGUGGGAAGACGGUCCUCUGGAUUGUAAACCACUGUCCCCAGGGACGAAGAUGACGGUACCUGGGGAGGAAGCUCCGGCUAACUACAUGCCAGCAGCCGCGGUAAUACGUAGGGAGCGAGCGUUGUCCGGAUUUACUGGGUGUAAAGGGAGCGUAGACGGCAGUGCAAGUCUGAAGUGAAAGGCAAGGGCUCAACCCUUGGACUGCUUUGGAAACUGUGCUGCUCGAGUGUCGGAGAGGCA